Long non-coding RNA from Papilio xuthus (Asian swallowtail), 3174 nucleotides. RefSeq lists it as uncharacterized. NCBI's taxonomy places the organism in Eukaryota, Metazoa, Arthropoda, Insecta, Lepidoptera, Papilionidae. The record is from RefSeq and is a predicted model, not a curated record. The transcript has 2 exons.
AUUAGCGUUAGCACUGGAGGCUUCUCCACUCCGCGACCUGCCGAUAUGUUUCUCUUACUUGAUGAGCACUGCGCACUUCAUACUAUAUCUAAAAUUUAAACUAAAAAAAAAACCUAAAGAACCAAAUAUUAUGAUUAAUGUACUACCUACAUGUAAUUUAUUGGAUAUGAACUUGUUUGUCUGUCUGUCUGUCUGUCUGUCACAACGUCCGCGACCUACUGAAGGGCUGAUUUAUGAAUUUAUUUUGUAUUUAUAUACAAAACUUGGAAACUAACAAGCUGAUGAUGAAUUUUUAUAUCAUUUUUUAAACUAAAAAAAUAUUUUUUUUUUGUAAUUUUUUUUUAAAUCAACUAUAAUAAGUACUGUUUAGCGUAAGAACAAUUAUUAUUGCUUGAUUUUUAUAUUGUUUAAGCACAAAAAAAUACUAAAGAACAAGUCUAUUUUAAAAAUUAUUUAUCCAUUUAAGAAUUUGUCUAAAAAAAACUGCUAGAAAUUACGGUUUUUGUAUGUUAUAUAAUUUUAUAAAAUAGAAAAUUAUGUUCUUAUUCGCGCAAAAAUAAAAUAUAUUAUUUGUACGUAUUAUUCCUCUGUUUUUAUAUUAAAAAAAAUGGCGGUUUAAAUUGUUUUGUAAAUUAAAAAUGUAUUUAGGGUUACCAUAAAACCUAAAUAAUUGAACUAUUUUGGUAAAAUACAGCAUUAAAGGCCUAUUUGGUUUCAAGUGCAUGGCAACCCUGAAUAUAUUUUUCUUUAUAUUUCUACAUAAUUUGGCACAGAAAUAUUGUGAAAGUUUAAAUCUGACAUUUAAUAAAUAAUUUAAUUUGUACAGCCCCACUUGUUAUCUGCCUGUCUGUCCCUUUCUCGUAUUCGACUUGAAGAUUGACGUGUAACUUUUUACAAGACAUGCCAAAUAUAAAGUAACAAAUUAAAUUUAUUAUGUUGUUUAUUUUAUUCGUUUCUAAAAUGAUGAUUAUUGUGAAAAAAACAAACUUGUAAAUUUUCGUAAAUCGAAUCGCACAAGAUUCACGCACAUUCGUACUAAAGACAACAUUUUGUCGUUUUAAAAUAAUUCUCGAGUAAUGCAAAUAGACAAAACAUAUUGCGCGCGAAAAAUUACAUCUCUUUACGCUAUAAAAAUGGCCGUAAUUUUUGGAACGAUUACGUUUUUCGAGUAAACAUUAUUUCGUGAAAUUGACAACUUCUUUUUAUAUUAUGUAGUGUUUACAACAUUUUUGUACCUUUACAAUAAACUUAAAAUUCAUUCAUUACUGAGAAAAAUACUUAAAUGAUAUAAAUACAAUGAAAAUUGCGCCAAAAAGUUCGCGCCCAAAUUAAACCUGAAGAGAACUACGGUUAGUUUUAAGUCUAUGGGUGUAGAGAAUGGGCUAUGGUUUGCCUUUAAAUUAAAAAAAAAAUCCUACACCCAAAAGAAUGAUAACUUUGUGUUGCUUUUCUAUUUAUAAAAUUGUUUGGAAAAUUAUAAUUAUUGUUUCAGUAUUUUUUUCGAAUUAAGCACAAAUAAUUUAUAUAUGUCGGCUUUUUUGCUAUCGCGUUGUUUUUUUUUUAAUUAAGCAUCUUUGUCUUAGAUAAGUUAUGUAGAUGUAUAAUUAAGGUGAAACCACAGACUAAAGCACAUUGGAUAUGCUUAAUUUGACUUUAUAAUGUGUUUUAACAAAAAUAUAUAAUACUUAAACAUUUUCAGAUGUCACAAUUUGUCGAAAAUAUCGGACUUUUCAAAGUUUCAACAAUCCGGUUAUAAUUUUAUUCACUUAUAAAGAUGGAGAAUCGAUUACAUUUUGCUUUCAGUCGGGCCCAUCGACAACGAGCAAUGACUUUUCUUAUAUGAUAUGCCUUUAUUUGCUUCAAGGAUUGGAAUUUAUGUUUUAUGCCAAUACAGUGAGACAGAAUCGCUCAAAAUCAUUACUGGAAUAAUGUUAUCAUUUGUGUCCAUGCCAGGACAGCGUCACUGUUUUACUGUACUGGUAUAAUGGAAGCCAAGCAUCAAUGAUCAUCUCUUACAGUAAGACAUUGUAAAAUGCAUGAUAAGAGGUCACUCUAGAAAUUAUUGAGGGUUGAGAUUUAACAUCUUUGAUGACAAGGGCUGUGGUUAGAGGUGACUAACAAGUAAAGUUCAAGGUUCACAGGAUUUGUUUUUUUUUAUUCAAGUGAAUAAAUAUUAAUUUACAUGUAGAUGCAUAUAUUCCAUGCUCAAUUUACAAUCGCGGAAAUGUUACGUUGACAGAAAUAAUUUGACAUAUUCCUUGUAUUUGUAUCUCGUAGGCAUAUCAAGCAAUUUGCUCCCACUUUUUAUUACUGUUUACACCAAAUCAUAGAGUUUUGUAAGUUUUUUUUUCAUGUUAGGGCAAAUUGAUAUCCAAACAACAUGCAUCUAAUCGUCUGUGUAAUGAAUAUUUCGCAUUAUGAAUAUUAUUUUCAUCUGUCCAAUGCAGUUUCCAAGCAGCCAGAAUUAUCAAGUUCGAAAAUCAAAAUACGUCAUUAUAACAACUGUCAACGAUGACAGAUAUUUUGGCGGGAAUUCUCAUUGAACAGAUUAUGAAACGUAAUUUCGGAGUUAAGCUAUGGUGUGCUAGUUCUACGCAUAGUGAAUAAGACUUUUUUAAAUGAUAACAAUUUUUUUCUACUAUAACGGCUUCUUUUCCUAUCGGUGUAUCGAUAACUCUUAGAAUUAUAUAUUGUAUGUAUAUGUACGACGGUAUUUAAUGGAAAGUUUGAAAGCUCCAUAUUUUUAUUUCUAUUCAGACCAAUUUUUCUCACUUUUACAUCGUGUUAUUGGAAUGGACUGCCAUAUUUUAUCCUUAAACUGUAAUUUAUAUACUUAAACAGGGCUAUGUGCAUCCGGACUUUGGAUUUUUGAUGGGCAACAUUAAAUUUAAAAUAAAAUAAACUUUCAAAAUAAGAGCGGGACUUCGAAUAUAUUUUGACAGUCCGCCAUUACGCGUUCAGAAAUGAAAUUCUGUCGUCAAAUCCUAACCAAUGUAAUGCCCUUACAUCUGAUAAAUAAAAGAAAAACGAAGGAUGUGUAAAUUAAUUUUUAUUUGCUAGUCCACGUCUUUGAUAUGUUAAAAAUAAUUAUUCUUAGUCGUGUAAUACUAAAUGUAUUGUGUAAAAUAUUUUUUUUUUUAGUUAUUAUCAAUAAAUUAAAUUUUGUUUAUUUUA